UGUCCAAGGGAUAGGGGUUUUUUCCUGGAGAAUAAACUCAUGAACUCAACCUGGUCUUUUGGGAGUUUUACUAACCCUCUGUGGCAGGCUUGAGCACCCUGUUACAUUUUGGCGCCCAACGUAAAAAACUUAAGGAGGAGUCAGCAGUGACGAUUGUCUGAGGUAUGAACCGGACUAUAGCAAGUCUACGAACUGUAGGAGCGAUAUCCGGCGAUGACGUCAAGGUGACCUUGACAGAUAUAAUAUAGAAUACGUGCCACCAUUAUAACUCGACCUUGACCUACGUUACCCGCUUCCGGUGAAGAACGUGAUUUUUUCUGUGUCGUGUUUAUAAACAUUUUUCUGCGAUGGUGUUCCUUGCUAAAUACUCAUCUGUGUUUAUUUCAUGGACCAUAGCAGUGGAUCGGGAACAAUUGACAAUACAGAUAAAAUCAGUCAUACUGCACUCUCAGAUCAAGGGGAAUAAAUCUGUAUUAAUUGAGAUCAUGGACCCCAUCUCACCUGGUCCAACAGGCCAAGGCCAGCUUUUGCCAUACUGUGGCAUCCGUCGACUUGCAUGUGGGGUCCAUCCAUCGACAAUUGACUUCUUCUUAACCGCAGAUCAGAAUUUAACCAAAGAUGAUAGCCACAGACUUGACACAAAUGCAGCAAAAACAGCUCAGCAUGUGAGCACAACUGGAGGAGUACAAAUGUAAAACACCUGGAACAUGUUCAUAGACUUCUACAGAUUGAGUGUAGGAUAGAGCUUAUGAUAUAUAUUCUUGAACGACCUGACCAAGGACCAGCUUGGAGAAUUCCAGCUCAUGGACACGAAAAGUUUCCUAAAACAGAACAUUAAUUGUACCACAGUUGCAGUAACAGGCUGAGGACGCCUCCACUCCCCAAAGACCGGGUUCACCAAGAACAACACAAACAAUACUUGGACACAGCAAACUUCCUAAAACAGACCAACAUUCUACCACAGCUGCUGUCUGUCACAGGUCAUGGCUGAAGGUAUCUGCCCAAAGACUGGGUUCACUUAAUUAGGAAUAACACAAACAAUACUUGGAUAACACCCCUUCAGGCUACUGUGUCCAGUCUACAUAUGUUUGCAUCUUCAAGAGGAGCCUGAACGACAAUAUGGCAAAAAGCUAGCAAGUCCAACAGUCAAAGACAAAAUGAAGUGAACUGAAAAGAUACUAAUUAUUAUAAGGAC
Molecule: RNA transcript, 1195 nt
Organism: Pecten maximus
Lineage: Eukaryota; Metazoa; Mollusca; Bivalvia; Pectinida; Pectinidae
Exons: 7
Source: RefSeq, a predicted model, not a curated record